This 63-nucleotide transfer RNA is filed under the name Lepidogalaxias salamandroides (salamanderfish). RNAcentral describes it as "tRNA-Cys". It matches the Rfam family "tRNA". Rfam says of the family: Transfer RNA (tRNA) molecules are approximately 80 nucleotides in length. Lineage: Eukaryota; Metazoa; Chordata; Actinopteri; Lepidogalaxiiformes. The record is from RNAcentral.
GCCCUGUAGUGAGUCACGUCAGAUUGCAAAUCUGAAAAUGUAAAUUACAAUUUGCCGGGGCUU